This 489-nucleotide ribosomal RNA is filed under the name uncultured bacterium. RNAcentral's name for it is "partial 16S ribosomal RNA". It matches the Rfam family "Bacterial small subunit ribosomal RNA", at positions 30 to 506 of the family's 1533-position model. The record is from RNAcentral.
AUUGAACGCUGGCGGCAGGCCUAACACAUGCGAGUCGAACGGUAACAGGAAGAAGCUUGCUUCUUUGCUGACGAGUGGCGGACGGGUGAGUAAUGUCUGGGAAACUGCCUGAUGGAGGGGGAUAACUACUGGAAACGGUAGCUAAUACCGCAUAACGUCGCAAGACCAAAGAGGGGGACCUUCGGGCCUCUUGCCAUCGGAUGUGCCCAGAUGGGAUUAGCUAGUAGGUGGGGUAACGGCUCACCUAGGCGACGAUCCCUAGCUGGUCUGAGAGGAUGACCAGCCACACUGGAACUGAGACACGGUCCAGACUCCUACGGGAGGCAGCAGUGGGGAAUAUUGCACAAUGGGCGCAAGCCUGAUGCAGCCAUGCCGCGUGUAUGAAGAAGGCCUUCGGGUUGUAAAGUACUUUCAGCGGGGAGGAAGGGAGUAAAGUUAAUACCUUUGCUCAUUGACGUUACCCGCAGAAGAAGCACCGGCUAACUCCGU